This 49-nucleotide transfer RNA is filed under the name Phoca vitulina (harbor seal). RNAcentral's name for it is "partial tRNA-Pro". Lineage: Eukaryota; Metazoa; Chordata; Mammalia; Carnivora; Phocidae. The record is from RNAcentral.
ACCCCACCACCAGCACCCAAAGGUGACAUUCUAAUUAAACUAUUCCCUG